CAGUCGCCGCGGGAAUACGAAGGGUGCAAGCGUUACUCGGAAUUACUGGGCGUAAAGCGUGCGUAGGUGGUGGUUUAAGUCCGUUGUGAAAGCCCUGGGCUCAACCUGGGAAUUGCAGUGGAUACUGGGUCACUAGAGUGUGGUAGAGGAUAGUGGAAUUUCCGGUGUAGCAGUGAAAUGCGUAGAGAUCGGAAGGAACAUCUGUGGCGAAGGCGGCCAUCUGGGACAACACUGACGCUGAGGCACGAAAGCGUGGGGAGCAAACAGGAUUAGAUACCCGCGUAGUCCCUGUCUCUUAUAC
Molecule: ribosomal RNA, 301 nt
Filed under: uncultured bacterium
Lineage: Bacteria
Description: partial 16S ribosomal RNA
Rfam family: Bacterial small subunit ribosomal RNA
Source: RNAcentral